GACGUUACCUACAGAAGAAGCACCGGCUAACUCCGUGCCAGCAGCCGCGGUAAUACGGAGGGUGCGAGCGUUAAUCGGAAUUACUGGGCGUAAAGCGCAUGCAGGCGGCCUGUUAAGUCAGAUGUGAAAGACCCGGGGCCGUUAACCUACCGGAAGUUGCAUUUAGUAAACUAGGCGAGGCUAGAGUCUUGUAGAGGGGGGUAGGAAUUUCAGGUGUAGCGGUGAAAUGCGUAGAGAUCUGAAGGAAUACCAGUGGCGAAGGCGGCCCCCUCGGACAAAGACUGACGCUCAGAUGCGAAAGCGUGGGGAGCAAACAGGAUUAGAUACCCUGGUAG
This 335-nucleotide ribosomal RNA is filed under the name uncultured bacterium. Its description in RNAcentral is "bacterial SSU rRNA". It matches the Rfam family "Bacterial small subunit ribosomal RNA", at positions 471 to 793 of the family's 1533-position model. The record is from RNAcentral.